Long non-coding RNA from Daphnia pulicaria, 397 nucleotides. RefSeq lists it as uncharacterized. The record is from RefSeq and is a predicted model, not a curated record. NCBI's taxonomy places the organism in Eukaryota, Metazoa, Arthropoda, Branchiopoda, Diplostraca, Daphniidae. The transcript has 3 exons.
AUAGGACUCGCGUCAUUCUGAUCGCAUUAGUGAGCUUCAUCUAGCUCUAUUGGAAGUGAUCAUGUUACGUUAUGUCAAUAGCAUGCCAUUUCUACUGACAGUUAAAAAUGAAGAAAUGCGUGCAAUAUCCACAAGCUACACUAUUAAUAGAAAAAUGAAACCCGUUUGACCCUGGCCUUGUAUUGUCUCAAUAACACCUGCAAUGCGACAAAGGAAUUUGAUGGAUGUUCUGGAUCUCCAAACUAUGACCCUAGGCUGUUUCAUUUUUGACUUUUUUUUUUAAAUUUUGGGGGGACGCUCGGAUUAUAUGUUCUUAUGAUAUAAUGAGACUAUUCACCAAGUUUGAGCUAAAAAAAAUAAAAUUUGAUAUGCGCGCCUGUCGAUUUUCUCCAAAAAU